UAACGCGUGAGGAACCUGCCUUUCAGAGGGGGACAACAGCUGGAAACGGCUGCUAAUACCGCAUAACAAGGAGAGAGCGCAUGUUCUUUUCUUCAAAGAUUUAUCGCUAUGGGAUGGACCCGCGUCUGAUUAGCUAGUUGGUGAGGUAACGGCUCACCAAGGCGACGAUCAGUAGCCGGCUUGAGAGAGUGAACGGCCACAUUGGGACUGAGACACGGCCCAGACUCCUACGGGAGGCAGCAG
Molecule: ribosomal RNA, 243 nt
Filed under: uncultured bacterium
Lineage: Bacteria
Description: partial 16S ribosomal RNA
Rfam family: Bacterial small subunit ribosomal RNA
Source: RNAcentral